Molecule: non-coding RNA, 107 nt
Organism: Acanthosepion pharaonis
Lineage: Eukaryota; Metazoa; Mollusca; Cephalopoda; Sepiida; Sepiidae
Source: the annotation of a GenBank genome assembly
UUACGGUCAAAUCACGCUGAAACACCGGUUCUCGUUCGAUCACCGAAGUUAAGCAUCGUAGAGCCAGCUUAGAUGGGGGACCGCUUGGGAACACCUGGGACUGUAAG